CUGACUGCGUAUACGGCUCUCCAUUUCUAAGUCGUAUACAGCUUUAAUAAGGAGGAAGUGUUCAUCCCCAGGCUCGGGGUGCGGCAGUGUGGAGACCUGUCGUAAUGCGGCGCGCUCUCUGCGGGCGGUCGCGAGGAUCUCUCAGGCGGAGGCCGGAGAUUCGGAGUCGGAAGUAUGGCA
RNAcentral lists this non-coding RNA (180 nucleotides) under unclassified sequences. RNAcentral's name for it is "malK-I RNA". It matches the Rfam family "malK-I RNA". The record is from RNAcentral.